RNAcentral lists this ribosomal RNA (513 nucleotides) under uncultured bacterium. Its description in RNAcentral is "bacterial SSU rRNA". It matches the Rfam family "Bacterial small subunit ribosomal RNA", at positions 15 to 518 of the family's 1533-position model. The record is from RNAcentral.
GAUUCUGGUCAGGAUGAACGCUAGCUACAGGCUUAACACAUGCAAGUCAGGGGCAGCAUGAUUCUAGCUUGCUAGAAUCGAUGGCGACCGGCGCACGGGUGAGUAACGCGUAUCCAACCUUCCCUAUAGUAGAGGAUAGCCCGGCGAAAGUCGGAUUAAUACUCUAUGUUGUUCAAUGCGGACAUCUAAGUUGAACCAAAGGCUUGCCGCUAUAGGAUGGGGAUGCGUCUGAUUAGGUAGCAGGCGGGGUAACGGCCCACCUGGCCUACGAUCAGUAGGGGUUCUGAGAGGAAGGUCCCCCACAUUGGAACUGAGACACGGUCCAAACUCCUACGGGAGGCAGCAGUGAGGAAUAUUGGUCAAUGGGCGAGAGCCUGAACCAGCCAAGUAGCGUGCCAGGAUGACGGCCCUAUGGGUUGUAAACUGCUUUUAUGCGGGGAUAAAGUGUGGGACGUGUCCCAUAUUGUAGGUACCGCAUGAAUAAGGACCGGCUAAUUCCGUGCCAGCAGCCGC